This 459-nucleotide ribosomal RNA is filed under the name uncultured bacterium. RNAcentral's name for it is "partial 16S ribosomal RNA". It matches the Rfam family "Bacterial small subunit ribosomal RNA", at positions 338 to 795 of the family's 1533-position model. The record is from RNAcentral.
CCUACGGGAGGCAGCAGUGAGGAAUAUUGGUCAAUGGCCGGAAGGCUGAACCAGCCAUGCCGCGUGAAGGUCAGUGCCCUAUGGGCGUUAAACUUCUUUUGUGCGGGAGCAAUAAUGGUCACGUGUGGCCAGACGAGAGUACCGUACGAAUAAGCAUCGGCUAACUCCGUGCCAGCAGCCGCGGUAAUACGGGGGAUGCAAGCGUUAUCCGGAAUCAUUGGGCGUAAAGAGUUCGUAGGCGGCACGUAAAGUCUGGUGUUAAAGGCAGAGGCUCAACUUCUGUACGGCACUGGAUACUUGCGAGCUAGAAUGCAGUAGAGGUAAAGGGAAUUCCUGGUGUAGCGGUGAAAUGCUUAGAUAUCAGGAGGAACAUCGGUGGCGUAAGCGCUUUACUGGGCCGUAAUUGACGCUGAGGAACGAAAGCCAGGGUAGCAAAUGGGAUUAGAUACCCUUGUAGUC